Molecule: transfer RNA, 64 nt
Filed under: Scaphoideus varius
Lineage: Eukaryota; Metazoa; Arthropoda; Insecta; Hemiptera; Cicadellidae
Description: tRNA-Thr
Rfam family: tRNA
About the family: Transfer RNA (tRNA) molecules are approximately 80 nucleotides in length. Their secondary structure includes four short double-helical elements and three loops (D, anti-codon, and T loops).
Source: RNAcentral
GUUUUAAUAUUUUAAAGAAAAUAUUAGUCUUGUAAACUAAAAUUAGGGUUUAACCUUUAAAACU